UUCACUUUUGGAGAGUGCUAUUGUUUGGGUAGGAUUUUUUAAGCUUAAUUCACAAAGACAUUUUUUAAAUAUUAAAAUUCAUGCCCUUUGAUUGAUCAAGGAGGAGGCAGGAUAAUGUAUUUUUUUCCCCUCGUACCAGAGUUUAAUACAGGCUAUAUCUCCUUUGGCAAAUCACCUAUCCCGAUAAAAAACAAAACUGUUUUUAAAUCUCAGCUCUGUAAUCCUUAGAGCUUAAAGAUAAAGGAAAAAAAAUGACCUUCUUUUUGUCCAUUAGUCAAUUACAGGAAGCAUUAUUCUUUCCAUAUUACCACGUUAUGAAUCUGAUUUCAAAGUAAGUAUUCUAAUGAAAAGAGAAGCACUUAACUUUUUAAAAAAAUUCCAACUGACUCUGCAAAUGAAAUUUUUAAACCAAGGUACCAGGAGAGGAAAAAGACCUUAUGUUCUAAAGCCACCAUCAUAUGAAAUAAAUUAUUCUGUCUUUUAUGUAUCCGAAUGGUAGUAGUUAUAUGCCAUCCUUGGGAGAACUGAAGAAAUGGUCACUCAAGUCAUUCUGUAUGUUUUGUGUUUCUGAGGAGCCCUCACUGAGAAAGGCUGGCAGAGUCAGAAAAAAAAAAUUCGUGUUCUUUAAACAGGGUAUAGUCGGGGUUUUUUUUUUUGUGAUUGGGGCUUUUUAAAAAGAGAGGUACUCUGGAAAAGGAGACAGAACAUAUUUAAGUCCUACUUUUAGCAUGUGAAGGAGCUAGAUUCUACAUUUUCUUAAAUACUCUGAUGAGUUAAAUGGAACUAACACUCAAAUGCCACCAAAUCCCCCCACCACUGAUAGUUAACAAUGACAGCAUCUCCGACUGCUUCUUGCAUCUUUGCUAUCUGCCUGACUCCAUUCUGAGUGCUUUGCAUCAAUUCUCCUGUAAUUCUCUUUAAUAUGAGAUAAGUAUCCCCAGAUUUACAGAUGAAUAAAACUGAGACUCAGCUCACACAGCAGGCCCAAGAUUGUCCAGUUAAAUAAGGAGCACAAGCAGGAUGGAAGCCAGGCCAGUUCAACUCAAAGGGCCUCACUUAACACCAAGGCCUACUCUGAAGGGUGCAAGACUUCAGGCUUGUAUCCUCAGGUGGGCUGUAAAAUAAGAGGCCUGGACUACACUAGCUCUAAAUUUGUUACCCAGUAUGCUACAGUUAAUUUACCAAGAUACAUAGUGCAAAAACAAGGAAAAAGAUUAACGUCACUUUUUACUAUGAUUUUGUAUAAAAUAAUUGGAAUUUAAAAUAGGGCACAAAACAUUAUCUUUAUGAAACACUUGUUUCUGAAUGAAAUGGAGGAUGGUUUUAGCACCCUAAUACUCAGUUUCAAAACUGUAACAAUAAAGUUACACAAGAUGAUAUAAAUUCUAACCCCUGUAGAAAUGUUGGACUGAUUAUCCAAUUUCAGGAGUUACAGUGUGGCUUUAUGUUUGUUUUCUUUAGUGCUUUGCCAUGGUUUUUAUAUAAUAAAUGAAAAACACAAACAAAAAACACAAAACUGAGUUGUGGAGAAUGAUGACUUCGAUGGAACCAUAAAAUCUCCCCUACACUAAAAAGAAAAGAACACACAGCCACUUUACAUCUGCAAUCCACCUUCCUCAGACCUUUAUCAAUUGCCAUCAGGAGUCUUUGUAAGUAGUGAAGAGUGGUGGAUCAGGAUCUCAUCAGAGGCAGGCACCAAUCUGACUUAAUUCAGGGACUUGGUUAGGUAGGUGACAGAAAAGCUGGGAAGCCAGACCACUGUGAGAACCACAGGCAGCCUCUCCACGGCCUUGGGCAGAAGAAUAAAGAGAGGAGAGAAUGUUGUUGGAGCUCAGGGCCACCCACAGUGGGUGGGGCAUAGGUGAGACGCAGCAGCUCACAGAGGUCUCUAGAGCUGAGGAGACAAGGCUGAGAGUCUGGGAAGCGGGACAGAGUACCCACGUGGAGAAAGCUACAGAGAGAGAGGACUGUAGAGAUCUGUAGCUUCCCUAGAGUCUUCAGCUGAGUACUGACCAGCACAUGUACAUAAGUAAACUACAAGAGGCCAGAGAGAGGACUAGAGGGAACCAUCUCCAAAUCUUACACAAACAUGCUGCAUGAGCUGGAAAGAGAAAUAUAAAUGCCCUGCUUUCCCCCCAACCCCCGCCCCUCCUCCUUUCCUGUAAUCCUCCCCUUACCUAUGCCUCCCAUUAGCCUGGUGGUUCUCAACCUUGGCUGCACAAACUAGAAUCAACUAGGAAGCUGUAAAAACGUUGAAUGCCUCGGUACACCCCUAGAAAGACUGAUGUAAUUGGUCUGGGUGCAACCUGGGCAUUAGGAGCUUUAAAAGCUCUCUUGGUGAGUUGAGAACCAAUACAUUAGCCGAACCCAAGUAGAAGACACGAGAACAGACCCUGGAAAACAUAGCCUACAGAAAUCAGCACCCUUUCAUACGGGGCAAGGAGAGGAUCUGAGAGCCUGUGGGCCUAAGAUCAGCAAAGAUGGCACAAAGAGAUGGGUAGAAAUAAGAUGAUGAGAAGAAGGAGAAAAAAAAGUAGGCAUGAUCUUCCUUAAACCCUUCAGUGGCCAGCUCACAUUGAACACCCGGCUGCAGAGUUUCUUCCCUCUUAUAAUACUUACUGCUAUUCCUCCAGUGACCAGACUAUCAUGUGCCACCUCCCAUGUGUCCUUGGCUGUGCUGAAGCCCAGCAUCUUGCUAUCUGUUCUGGUUCAUCCUGCAGCAUCCCAUCAGGAAACCCUGGUGUUCCUCCUCUUACUAGCUGCAUCAGGUAUUUUCUUCUUUCCCAAACUGACUGGCUAGUUCAUUUGUAUAUUUUGCUAAUAUUAAGUAGUAAUUGAUGGCUAAUAAUAGGUAAUGUAACCCCCCCGGAUAAUAUUUGCAUGGCAAAACAGACCUUGAGUGUAAGAAUUUCAGGGCAAAGUCACAGAUUGAUUGAAUAGAUUUUUCUGUGUCCCUUAAAAUGUAAAUAAAUUUAAAUCAAAUAACAUAGGGGAUGGCCUAACAUUGGAAAGUAAUGAUUUACAAAUUUACAAAUGAUUUACUGCAAUGUAUUUUGAUUAUAAUCCUACUCAUAGCUGCUAAAAUGUUAAGCAAUGUGAAGAUACCUUAAGAUACAUUUAUAUCCUGUUAAUCAUUUAUAGCCUAAAAAUAUACUUGCUGUAAAUUCCAAAGUCUUAUGAUUUUGGAUCAAAAGAAAUUUAUUUUUAAAAGUGGAAAUAUUUAGCAUUAUUAUCCUAUUUGCCUGAGAAAGUCACCUUCCAGAGAAGGACAAAAUCCAAGGUCAAAAUCAGAAAUCAGAUACUCUAUGUGUGUGUGUUUAGACUGACAGGUCAGUCCCUGAGAAACUGGUUGUAUAUUGUGAAACUGUUAAAAUACUGAGUUCAAAACUGGACAUGCUAUUUUUAAAAAACUAUUUUCUGGUAUGAAUCUUUCUUAUUAUUACUCUAGAUGAAGAAUUUGUGAAUCUCCACAAAUAUAUGGUAGUGCCAACUCCUAAAAACAAACUUCCAACAGGACAACCACAAAGUACUGAAAUAAUAUACAUGCAUGCAUAAAGGCCAUGGGCAGAUCUACUUCUGUGAUCCUACAAGCAACACAUCAAGGCUCAUAAUUCAGAGAUCAUUUCUCUUCACCAACUACUUAAUGAAUGGUAUUCUUCCAGUGGAAAGUUUAAAUCCCCAAAUCACAACCAAUACCACCUGACUGAGCUCCCAAAAUUAUCACUAAAAGGAACAGAUCCAUUCUACCUAAGUAUGUGGACAUAUUCUCAUUUUAGCUAUCAGACUCUUUUAAAAGCACUUGAAAUAAUUAAUACAUUUUAAUGGACAGAAUGAAAAUUCAAAACAGGUAAAUGACCACAUACUGAUGGAAUUCCCACAGACUCUUGGGAGCAAUAUGACCAUAACAGCCAUCUUCUUCCAUCACAUUAUUAAACAAGAAAUGGAAGAUGCUUUUUGUCCGUAAAAACCAGAAAAUUAAGGUUAAGUGAAUUUUGAAAUGAUGAGUAACUAAUACUACACAGGAAAGAAACACACAAGUCUAAGCUUACCAAAGGAGUAGUAAACCCACUAGGAUUUUAUCAUGAAAAUGCUGCAUAUGUCUCAGACAAAAGGCAAAGGUAGAAGAGAACCAUCUUUUCUUAGCAUGUGGAAAUAACCUAACAAUUCCUUUGAAAAUAGAACCUAUCUAUACACAUGCAACAAAUCUGCACGUUGUGCACGUGUACCCUAAAACUUAAAGUAUAAUAAAAAAAUAAACAAAUAAAACGUGAAAAAAAAGAAAAUAGAACCUAAACACAUACUCUGUACUGAGUCAGUGUUCAACUCAUGCUAUUGACUUAUUAAAUAAUGAUGUCUAAGAACUCCACGCAUUGGUAAGACCUAACUGGGUACCUUUCUGGGAAUGAAUAACAGUGAUUUUAAAGACAUUAUUAACUGCAGUGAGAUUUGCUCAUCUGCCCAAGCUGAAGGGAGGCAUCUGAUUCAUCUCGGUCAAUUUAAACAGCUCAGAUAAUCUAAACAUGGUGUGGACAAAAUUAAAGGGCAUUCCGAGUCCUUAAUAUUAUGUGGGCUCUCUUUCAGAAUGGUCUUACAAAAUGUGCCUCAGGGGUUCUGUGGGUCCAGGAAAUAUCCACACAGUCCCUGACUUUGGUGGUGACAACAAAGGGAUCGAAGAUCUGAGAAAGGGAAGGAACAGAACACCACCUCCCGAAGCAAAACCAAACCAACAAGAAAAAAUACUCACAAUUGCUUAAAGAAAUGGUUGAUACUAGGUUGAAACUUUAAAUUAGAAAAUAUUUUCUUCAGUUAAUAGAAAGGAAAUAAAGGAUUGUCAAAUCUU
This 4840-nucleotide long non-coding RNA is filed under the name Homo sapiens (human). Its description in RNAcentral is "HSALNT0307919". Lineage: Eukaryota; Metazoa; Chordata; Mammalia; Primates; Hominidae. The record is from RNAcentral.